CUCAGGAUGAACGCUAGCGGCGGGCUUAAUACAUGCAAGUCGAGGGGUAGCAAUACACCGGCGCACGGGUGCGUAACGCGUAUGCAACCUACCUUUAUCUGGGGGAUAGCCCGGGGAAACCCGGAUUAAUACCGCAUAACAAAUUGAUUGGCAUCAAUUGAUUUUAAAAGAUUUAUCGGAUAGAGAUGGGCAUGCGUAAGAUUAGAUAGUUGGCGAGGUAACGGCUCACCAAGUCUACGAUCUUUAGGGGCUCUGAGAGGAGAAUCCCCCACACUGGCACUGAGAUACGGGCCAGACUCCUACGGGAGGCAGCAGUAGGGAAUAUUGGGCAAUGGGCGCAAGCCUGACCCAGCCACGCCGCGUGCAGGAAGACGGCCCUCUGGGUUGUAAACUGCUUUUGACUGGGAAGAAAAGACUCCUUGCGAGGAGAGUUGACGGUACCAGCAGAAUAAGCCACGGCUAACUACGUGCCAGCAGCCGCGGUAAUACGUAGGUGGCGAGCGUUAUCCGGAUUUAUUGGGUUUAAAGGGUGCGUAGGCGGCUGAUUAAGUCAGCGGUGAAAGGUAGCAGCUUAACUGUUUUACAUGCCGUUGAUACUGGUUAGCUUGAGUUAACAGAAGGCAGAUAGAAUUUCUGGUGUAGCGGUGAAAUGCUUAGAUACCAGGAGGAAUACCGAUUGCGAAGGCAGUCUGCUGCAGUACACGACGCUGGCAC
Molecule: ribosomal RNA, 714 nt
Filed under: Emticicia sp. HM003
Lineage: Bacteria; Pseudomonadati; Bacteroidota; Cytophagia; Cytophagales; Leadbetterellaceae
Description: bacterial SSU rRNA
Rfam family: Bacterial small subunit ribosomal RNA
Source: RNAcentral